Molecule: unclassified non-coding RNA, 639 nt
Filed under: Hevea brasiliensis (rubber tree)
Lineage: Eukaryota; Viridiplantae; Streptophyta; Magnoliopsida; Malpighiales; Euphorbiaceae
Source: RNAcentral
AUUCACCAUGCUUUGAAGAAAAUGAAGAGCCAACUCAUUUGAUUUAAAGCAUGGUGAAUCCAUCAUAAUAGUAACAUAUAUGCAGCACAAGUUCUGAGAUUAAUGUACAUAGCAUGAAUUUUACAGCAAUUGAGUUAUAAAUCUCACUUGACAGAGAUGGAUGGGACAAGUGAUGCACAAAUGAAACAUAUGCUUCAGAAAAGCAAGCUUGCCCAAGCAGCAAUAAAGGCGAAGCCACCAAAUGGAGCCAAGGUAGCAUACUUUCUGUCCUCAAGUAAAGCCACAGCAUAACACAUCCCAGAGAAUGCAAGAAUCCCAGUUGUUAAGAGGCCCCCAAAAACAUUGGGAUUUUUGGUGAUAGGGGCAGCAAGAAGAGCUGCAGUAUGAACCAGAUGGUAUAGAGAUGCUGUAUGCCAUACCUCCUUGUAAGCGGGAUUCUGGGGCUUGAAGACAUGGGCACCAUAUGUGCCCAACCCAAGAGCUGCAACUCCCGAAAGAGCAGCAACUUUGUGCCACGUAUAAGCAUCCAUUGUUGUGCACUGGUUUCUCUGCUGUCUCUCUGAAUUUUUUGCAGGAAACAAACACUUGAUCAUUAAAACUUUAGGCGAGCAAAGACGUCCAUCCUCAGCUUCAAACUGA